Molecule: non-coding RNA, 584 nt
Organism: Malus domestica (apple)
Lineage: Eukaryota; Viridiplantae; Streptophyta; Magnoliopsida; Rosales; Rosaceae
Source: RefSeq, a predicted model, not a curated record
GAACUCUUAUUAACCUUUCCCCAUUGAAGUUAUCUGCUCAUUGCAUUGCUGAGGUAACAUAAUAUGUCCUCCUUGUGCAUGAUACCAUUCAACAUUCAUAUUUUCUAGCAAAUUCGUGAAGUAACAAUGUCAGUACCAGACACAUGAGUUGUUGUUGAAUAAGGCAUAGAUUUUAGAAUUUCACUUUUACUCUAGUGAACUGUUGCAUUGGGUUGAUUUACAAUACAGAAAAUUCGUGAAGUACCAGAUCCAGCAGCAGACAUAUUGUUGUUGAACAAGGCAUAGAUUUCACAAUUUCAUUUUUUUCCCUACCGGUUAGUUGCAUUUGGUUGAUUACAAUACAGCACCACUACCAGUACCAGACAUAUGAUUUGUUGCUGAACAAGGCAUAGAUUUCAAAAUUUCAAUUUUACUCUGUUGGACAAUUGCAUUGCGUUGAUUUACGAUACAGGCAUCAGAGCACUGAGCGCGGGACUUACAAAAGCCACCAACAAGGAGAAGCAUUCCGGUUGUUGUCUUUGAUUUCAGAAGGAAAUGGAAAUUAUAAUUGCAAUUGCCUCAAAAAUUGGAGAGUCCUUGGUCAC